ACAGCCCAAAUUUGAAAUCUGCUCUAGGGCCCGAGUUGUAAUUUGAGAGGUCCCCACGAAGCGCCUGCCGAGUCCUGGAACGGGGCGCCGUAGAGGGUGAGAGCCCCGUGCGGGGACGCCCAGCCUAUGCGUGGGGCCUUCGAAGAGUCGAGUAGCUUGGGAAUGCUGCUCUAAGCGGGAGGUAUAUUCCUUCUAAGGCUAAAUACCUGCCAGAGACCGAUAGCGCACAAUUAGAGUGAUCGAAAGAUGAAAGGCACUUUGGAAAGAGGGUUAAACAGUACGUGAAAUUGCUGAAAGGGAAGCGCCUGCGGGCAGACUCGUGCCCCGCGGAUCAUCCGACGGUCGUCCCGGGUGCACUCCGCGGGGUCGGGCCAGCGACGGUUCUCCCGGGGGGACAAAAGCCGGGGGAACGUAGCUCCCCUCACGGGGAGUGUUAUAACCCCGGGUCAAAUGCCUCCAAGGGGGGCCNAGGAACGGNCCAAGGAGCUGUGUAUGCGCGGGACCNUCUUGAAANAGGGNCCAAGGGGUCCAANNUCGGGCCCAGUGCAGGGGUGUAAGCCCCUGCGGGAAGUGAAAGCGAAAGCUCGGGAGGGUUGGCGCAUGGGUGAGUGGUGUUGAAUUCUUCUGAGUGAUGUG
RNAcentral lists this ribosomal RNA (636 nucleotides) under Kohlmeyeriella tubulata. RNAcentral's name for it is "eukaryotic LSU rRNA". It matches the Rfam family "Eukaryotic large subunit ribosomal RNA", at positions 104 to 788 of the family's 3401-position model. The record is from RNAcentral. Lineage: Eukaryota; Fungi; Ascomycota; Sordariomycetes; Lulworthiales; Lulworthiaceae.